UUGUUCAUCACGAUUUUGAAAUUGGGAUUUUCUGGUCGCAUUAAAUUCUUUUUCUGGUUUGGUUAUUAUUUCAUCAUUCUUAUGUGUAUUUUCAUUUCACUCUUCUGUCUAAUCAAAUGGAUAGCAUCGAAUUGAAUUUUGUGAUUGUGAAAAUAUCAAAUUCACCAUAUACAUAACAUCAUAGCUUUCAAUUCAGUUCUGUCACACAGAAAACAUCAAAUGAUAGAUUUCCAAAAUUGUGUUUGUAUCUCAUUCAUUCAUUCAUAUACAAAAUUUUCACCCAUUUUCCCAUUCAAAGGGAAAACGAAAAUAUUUACAACAUGUCUGCCUAUAUUCUACAAAAUCUCAAUACUAAUCUAUGUUAGUCUCUUUCAGUUACAGAUUUAUAGACCAUUCAAGCAACAAGUAACAUUCAAGAAAACGUCUUCCGUGCAUGGAAUUGUGAGACCGCCCAUUCGAUGAUCAUAUCCAAAUUCUUCCUCUGCUUCACUCAACAAGUUUUGAUAUGAAGGUUUGUUCAAGUAUGACGUGGGAAUCACAAACCGCUUAUUCUCCUCUCCUACGUACACCGCAAGAUAGCCCUUUGCCACUUUUGAUGAUGUUUGCCCAUUGCUACUUAAUGAACCACGUCUUAUAGCUGCAGGAAAAUACAUUAUAGUAUACACUUGUUUGAAUAGUGGAGACUGCUAGGAGCUUAAAGUAAAGGGUUGCCGCGGCGCUAAUUGAGUGCACUGGAAAGAAAGUCCUCGCGAUUGUCGUCUCUACUCUACCACCUUCGUUAAACAUCAAAGGAAAAAUGCUUCAUUCAAAGUUGUUGGUACGUUUUUUUUUUUCAUUUCAUUUUCAUUUCACUUCUACUGACCUUUGCUAAACAAAUUGAAGAUUGGAUUUCGUGGAAGUUGGAAUAGUUGGAGGAGCUUUCUUAUUUAUCAUAGCGUAAAUAUUGCUCUGCCUAGUUGAAGAAAGCUCAAGACAUGUAAACAUGUUGCGAGCUUAGAUACAAGAUAGAUUAUCAACUAUUAGUGUUUGGAUGAAUGCUUUAUUAUGUUAGAGAAAUUUGCAGGAAUAUUCGAGCUAGAUUUUGCUUACAGCCUGUAGCACACCCUUAUGCCAUCAUUAUAAUAUACCAAGGAAAAUUGGAUAUUGUUUCAUUUUUUUUUAUCAAGAACCAGUUUUGUAACUUAUAAAUAGAAGCGUAUAUGAGCCCAUUGAGUUGUGGAAUAUAUUGUGUCAUUAUGAUUAGGAAUAAGUAAUAACAAAUAAUCUCUUCCUGAAUUUGUCAUUCAGAUGGACAGUUCUAACCCGUUCCAAUCCAAGGAUAGGAAAAGGCAAAAAAUCUAUACAAAUCUAAAUGAUGACUAUUGUACAAAAUUUCUAUGCUAAUCUGUGUCAGUCUCCUUUAGUGUAAGAUUUAGAGGCUAAUGAACUGAGAAGUAAUAUGCAAGAAAACAUCUUCAGUGCAAGGAAUUGUGAGGCCACCCAUCAGAUGAUUAUAUCCAAAUUCUUCCUCUGCUUGACUCAACAAGUUUUGAAAUAAAGGUUGGUUCAAGUAUGACAUGGGGAUAACAAACCGCUUAUUCUCCUCUCCGACGUACACCGCAAGAUAUCCCUUGGCCACAUUUGAUACUUUUGACGAUGUUUGGAUAUUGCUAGGGGAUGACCGUCUAAUAGAUGCAGGUAAACGGAAACCCAUCUUAAAUGUUUUGAUGAAUAAGCUGAAUUUUUCAAAUGUGAGUUUGAUUGCUUGAGUGGUUUGUGAUGGUUGUGAAGGAGGACACUAUAUUUAUAGUUUCCAAGAGUUUCUCCAAAUCCCUUGGCUAAAGAAAUUGUAAGUAAAAUUAUGGGGUCCAUGAGAUGAGAGAUCACAUGGUGUUGUCGUAGAUCCCUUUUUCAAGGCUCAUAACUCAAUACUUGUACAGUGCCCAGUCCUUUCUUCUUAGACAUGCAUCAGACAUGGCACAUGUUUUCUUCAUAUUGACAACAUAGCUUAAUGUUGAUAUUUGACUUGUAGAAUUAUGAGAAAAAUAUCAGUCAUACACUAACAGUAACACGCAAUGUAUGAGUUGUGCAUAUUGUUUUGUUCACAAGAGAUCGCAUGUAACUGUCUAGAGGUCUUUCUUAAGACUUGACAGAGAAUUAAAGUUAUGUCCCACACUACAAAGCUGUGUCAAUAUUAUAUCCAUUCAGAAAUCGAAAGUGAUAUGCACAGUAAGAAAUCAUACUGAUUUUUAAGCAAUUUUAAUAUAUUGAAUUUUAAUCAUAACUAUUUUCAAAGUCAGAUAUUUGAAUGGUUGAGGCUUGCUGAUAAUGCAAAAUUUUCUGUACGGACAAGGCCCUAUGUUUUUUCAAACUCGAGGAUCAUAGCCAAUUAGCCAUAAAUAAACUUAAUUAUGGUUGGACCCAGGGAACUGGCAGUGGGAGACUUUCCACAAUUGGGUUAAGAAGUGUGCAGAAAUGAAUUAUGUUGGUUGUUAAAAGUAUAAAAAGUCUUCCCCAGAGUGAUUAUACAGUUAUUUUGCACCAUCCUUGUAGCAAAAGGAGUUCAUGAUUUAUUGUCUGUUGAAGCGAGAAGUAGUAUGCAAAAAAACAUCUUCUGUGCAAGGAAUUGUGAGGCCACCCAUUGGAUGAUCAUAUCUGAAUUCUUCCUUUGCCUGACUCAACAAGUUUUGGAAUGAAGGUUGGUUCAAGUAUGUUGUGGGGAUCACAAACCUCUUCAUUUCCUCACCAAUGUACACUGCAAGAUAGCCCUUUGGCAUAUUUGUCACUUUGGAUGAUGUUUGGCUAUUGCUAAAUGAAGCCCGUCUAAUAGCUGAAGGUAAACGGAAACCCAUUUCAAAUGUUUUGAAGGACAAGCUAAAGUUCUCAAAACUUAAGGGAUAAAAAGGUAAGUGAGUGAUUUGUGAUGGCUGUGAAACAUAGUAGUGUAUUUUUAUAGUCUUCUUUCUAGAAUUUCUUCAAAUCCUUUUUGUUGAGAAAUUAAUUAUUGUUAAAGAAUGGGGUCCAUGAGAUGAGAGAUCCACAUGGUAUUUUCUUUGAAUGUCUCUCCAUCAUAUACCCCACCCUCUCAAAUGUUAGGCUAGCAGAUUAACCACUUGGAAGUCAAAUUGCUACUCAUAUUUUUGUAGACAUCUCACAUGUUCUCUUCAUAUCCAUAACGCGGUUCAAUACCGAUAUAUAGCCAGCCACCAAUAAUUCUCUUCUUAGCGUGUAUCAUAAUUGUUAGUUGGCUACAAAUCAUUAAUAUUAGGAGGCUACAAGGAACACAUAUAGAGGUCUUGGUCGGUCACUAGUCAUGCUGACCAGAAGAGAAGAUAGAUAGCAAUUGAACAACUCUUCAAAAGAGAUAAGUAUAUGUUUGGACCCACAAACAACUAGUAACAAAAAUAUGCUAUACUGAAUAUCGAGUUUGAAGUUAUCACUCCUAUUUAUUUUGUUCAAAAGAAAGUCUAGCAACACCUGAUUAUAUAAGGUGGACUAAAAUUCAAAACUUUAACUUGUUGUGCUGAUAAAGGUUGUUCAAAUGAUUUGUUUUUUUGCAUAUAAGAAUAAUUGGCUAGUAGAACCAUUUAGAAUAAUUAGCUAGUAGGAUAAAGUCUGGUGUUUAUUUUCCUACUCAAGUAUCAGGAGCCAUGGAUAAGUGCCAAAUUAUCAUACAGUUGAUUGCUUACUGCUGCUUUCAAAUAUCAGACUAUGUCAAGUUCUCGAUUUAAAAGCGAUAAGCUAUACAAUCUUUAACAAAAGGCCCACAGGAAUCAGCAGGCUAAUAAAGAGAUCAUUGCCUAGAUUGGAUGUGUUUCUAGCUUUUAGGAACUUUCAAGUUUACAAAUUAGAUGAAAUUAUUCAAUACUUGAAAUUCAUGUUUUACUGCUAUUCUUUCGUAGAUUAUGGCUUGACCUAGAGAACUGUUAGUGGAAGACUUUUCAAAUUGGGUCAAGAAGCGGUAAACUUGAAUUCUAUUAUUUGAUGGGAUUAGCUUCUGGUUUAAAAUCUAACUUGUGUGUCUACGAUAUCAAUACAUGCUCUGUGCAGACUCUGUUUAGUCAUGCAGUUCAGCCCCUGAAACAUGUGAGCUGCAAUAGUUUUGUCUUAUUUUGCAAUUUAAGAAUACCAAAUGCAGGUAGUUCAUGAUAAUCUUUUGAUUAAGAAAAUUCUUAAUAUACACUUUUAUGAAUGGUGAAGGCUGCUAGCAACUUAAAGUAAAGGGUUGCUGACUUGCCGCAAAUUCUUAAUAUACACUUUCUGACAACAUUUUUGAGUUUCGACAACCAAUCCAUGUGAAGAGCACGGGUCAUUGUUAUUGUAGUUUCUACCACUCUUUUUAAACAUCAAAAUAAAAAUGCAACAUAUUAUGUUAUUGGUAUGUUUCUUCAUUGUCAUUUCGUUUCUACUGGCUUGCUUAUUUAUCAUAGCUUAAUUAUUUCUCUUUCUAGAUGAAGAAACUUUUGAUAAAACACAAGACAUGUAACAAUUGUGAGCUUAGAUGCAUGAUAGCGCAUCAACUAUUAGAGUUUGGGUCAAUAUUUUUCAAGUCAGAAAUUUGCCGGCACAUUCGAGCUAUAAAAUUUUCUUACAGCAUGUAUCCUUAUGUCUUCAUUAUAAUAAAACCAGGAAAACUACAUACGGUUUCCUAUUUUUUUUUCUUAUCAAGGACCAGUUUUGUAAUUUAUAAAUAGAAGAAUAUAGCAGCCCAUUAAGUUGUGGAAUAUAUAUUGUCAUUAUGAUUAGGAAUAAAUUAGGAAUAAAUAAUAACAAAUAAUCUCUUCCUGAAUUUGUCAUUCAGAUGGACAGUUCUAACCCAUUCCAGUGGUAGGAAAAGGAAAAAAAAAACUUUACGAAUCUAGAUGAUGGCUAUUCUACAAAAUUUCUUUGCUGAUCUAUGUUAGUCUCCUUUAGUAUAAGAUUUAUAGACUAUUGAACUGAGAAGUAAUAUUCAAGAAAACAUCUUCAGUGCAAGGAAUUGUAAGGCCACCCAUUGGAUGAUCAUAUCCAAAUUCUUCCUCGGCUUGUCUCAACAAGUUUUGAAAUGAAGAUUGGUUCAAAUAUGACGUAGGGAUAACGAACCGCUUCCUUUCCUCUCCGACGUACACCGCAAGAUAGCCCUUUGCCACAUUCGAUACUUUUGAAGAUGUUUGGAUACUGCUAGGUGAUGGCCGUCUAAUAGCUGCAGAAUUAUGAGAAAAAUAUCAGCCAUACACUGGCUAAGGGGAUAAAAUGGGCCACACUGCCUAAACUAGUUUGAGGAUGCAAGUCCAGUUAUCUGGAUACAGAGAAGGGAUGAAGCUCUCAUAUAAUUCAUUCAGCACAGCCAAGCUUUUUGGUAACAACAACUGCUCUGCCAAGGUUAUAAGAGAACUGGCAGUGGGAGAUUUUCCAUAAUUGGGUUAAGAAGUGGAUCUAUUGCCUGUUGAAGCAAGAUGUAAUAUGCAAGAAAACAUCUUCCGUGCAAGGAAUUGUGAGGCCACCCAUUGGAUGAUCAUAUCCGAAUUCUUCCUCUGCUUGACUCAACAAACUUUGAAAUGAAGAUUGGUUCAGGUAUGACAUGGGGAUUACAAACCGCUUCAUUUGUUCUCCAACGUACAUUGCAAGAUAGCCCUUUGGCACAUUCGAUGUUUUCGAGGAUGUUUGGCUACUGCUAAAUGAAGUCCGUCUAAUAGCUGCAGGUAGUCGGAAACCCAUUUUAAAUAUUUUGAAGAACAAGCUGAAUUUUCAGAUGUAAGAAAAAUGUUUCUAAGUAUGAUUGCUUGAGUGAUUUGUGAUUGCUGUGAAGGAGUACACUAUAUUUAUAGUUUCCAAGAGUUUCUUUAAAUCCCUUUGCUAGAGAAAUGAUUUUUUAAAGAAUGGGGUCCAUGAGAUGAGAGAUCACAUGGUGUUGUCCUAGAUGCCUUUGUCAAGUCUCAAUAAAAGUGCAAACCCCAGUUUGUGAAUGAAAGGCUCUCAUGUUAAACUCAAUACUUGUACCAUUCCUACUCAUUUCUUUUUAGACAUGCAUCAGACAUGGCACAUGAUGCUCUCUUCACAUUGAUCAUACAAUGUUGAUAUCUUACCGGAAGAAUUAUGAGAAAUAUCAGUCAUAAAUUAAAACACUAUUUAUGAGUUGUGCAAUUUAUUGUUCUUGACUUAGCUCUUAAGAUGGUUCACAAGAGAUCACAUGAUAGUGUCUAGAAGUCUUUGAGAAAGUAAUUAAAUGUAUGUCGCACAUUAUAGAAGCUGUGCUAAUAUGAAAGUGCUAUGCACAUAUAAAGAAUACCUACUACAUUUCAAGCCUUUGCAAUGGCAUUAUUAUGAUCAUGUUUCAGACAGACUUAAAACAUCUGUAAUUUUCUUGAACAAAUAAUUUUGAUAGGUUUUUUUUAUCCUGGCAGUUUCUAAUUUUUAAACUCUAUUAGUGUAUUUUAUAAAUGAAUUUAGCAGACAUAGAGAAAGAUCUCUAUGGUCAAUUGUUGGGGACUUAAAAAAGAGGAUAGAAUCUCAAUUGUCUUUGGUUAAUUUUUAAACUCUAUUAGUGUAUUUUAUAAAUUAAUUAUUGUUAAAGAAUGGGGUCCCUGAGAUGAGAUCCACAUGGUGUUGUCUUUGAAUGUCUCUCCAUCAAGUUCAAUUAGAGUGCAUAUAUACACCCCACCUUCUCAACAAAAGGCUAGCAGAUUAACCACUUGGAGGUCAAAUGACUACUCAUAUUUUUCAUAUCCAUAACGCGGUUCAAUACCAAUAUGUAGCCAGCCACCAAUAAUUCUCUUCUUAUCGUGUAUCAUCAAUGUUAGUUGGCUCCAAAUCAUUAAUAUUAGGAGGCUACAAGGAAGGAACACAUAUAGAGGGCUUGGUCGGUCAUUAGUCAUGCUGACCAGAAGAGAAGAUAGAUAGCAAUUGAACAACUCUUCCAAAGAUAUAAGUAUAUCUUUGGACCCACAAACAACUACCAGUAACAAAAAUAUUGCUAUUCUGAGUAUUCAAUUGAAUUUCAAGUCAACAGUCCUAUUAUAUAUCUGCAGUCUUUCGAAUAUGCCUAGCAGCAAAUGCUCUGCCAAGAUUUAUAAACUGGACUAUAGCUCAAAACAUUAACUUCUGCUGAUAAAGACUGCUCUAUGAUUUGUUUUCUGCAUCUAAGAAUAAUUAGCUAGUAAAACCUUUAUUCAUGAAACUCUGUUGCUAAGACUAGUUAGCUAGUACGAUAAGGCCCAAUGUUUUUUCUAACUCAAGUAUCAAAGCCAUGAAUAAGUGCCAAACUAUCUGAGUUGUUGACCUAUGUUUUUUCUAACUCAAGUAUCAAAGCCAUGAAUAAGUGCCAAACUAUCUGAGUUGUUGACCUUUGUAUCAACCGAAAUGUGUUUCUUGCAUUUAGGAAAUUUCAAAUUUCCAAUUGAGAUGGUAUUAUUUGAUACUUGAAAUUCAUGUUUUACUACUAUUCUUUUUGUAGACUAUGGCUGGACCCCGAGAUCUGUUAAAUUCAUUUUUUACUAAUAUUCUUUUUGUAGAUUAUGGCUGGACCCCGAGAUCUGUUGGUCGGGGACUUUUCAUAAUUGGGUGAGAGGAUCUAUAGCCUGUUGAAGCGAGAAGUAAUAUGCAAGAAAACAUCUUCUGUGCAAGGAAUUGUGAGGCCACCCAUUGGAUGAUCAUAUCCGAACUCUUCCUUUGCUUGACUCAACAAAUUUUGGAAUGAAGGUUGGUUCAAGUAUGAUGUGGGGAUCACAAACCUCUUCAUUUCCUCACCAACGUACACUGCAAGGUAGCCCUUUGGCACAUGUGUCACUUUGGAUGAUGUUUGGCUAUUGCUAAAUGAAGCCCGUCUAAUAGCUGCAGGUAAACGGAAACCCAUUUCAAAUGUUUUGAAGAACAAGCUGAAUUUUCAGAUGUAAGAAAAAUGUUUCUAAGUAUGAUUGCUUGAGUGAUUUGUGAUUGUUGUGAAGGAGUACACUAUAUUUAUAGUUUCCAAGAGUUUCUUGAAAUCCCUUUGCUAGAGAAAUGACUUUUUAAUUGAUGGGGCCGCGAGAUGAGAGAUCACAUGGUGUUGUCCUAGAUGCCUUUGUCAAGUCUCAAUAAGAGUGCAAACCCCACUUUGUGAAUGAAAGGCUCAUGUUAAACUCAAUACUUGUACAAUUCCUACUCAUUUCUUAUUAGACAAGCAUUAGACACGGCACAUGUUGUUCUCUUCACAUUGAUCACACAAUGUUGAUAUCUUACCGGAAGAAUUGUGAGAAAUAUCAGUCAUAAAUUAAAACACUAUGAGUUGUGCAAUUUAUUGUUCUUGACUUAGUUCUUAGAUGGUUCACUAGAGAUCACAUGAUGGUGUCUAGAGGUGUUUGAGAAAGUAAUUAAAUGUAUGUCCCACAUUA
Long non-coding RNA from Vicia villosa (hairy vetch), 8327 nucleotides. RefSeq lists it as uncharacterized. The record is from RefSeq and is a predicted model, not a curated record. The transcript has 10 exons. NCBI's taxonomy places the organism in Eukaryota, Viridiplantae, Streptophyta, Magnoliopsida, Fabales, Fabaceae.